UUUCGAAUCAUUCACAAUGGGCGAAAGCCUGAUGAUGCAACGCCGCGUGGGGGAUGAAGGUCUUCGGAUUGUAAACCCCUGUCACCAAGGAGCAAAAAGCGGACUCAUACUCCGCGUUGAGUUAACUUGGAGAGGAAGUAGUGGCAAACUCUGUGCCAGCAGCCGCGGUAAUACAGAGACUACGAGCGUUACUCGGAUUCACUGGGCGUAAAGGGUGCGUAGGUGGCUAAAUGUGUUGGGUGUGAAAUCUCGGGGCUUAACUCCGAAACUGCGCCCAAAACUGUUUAGCUUGAGUCCUGGAGAGGUAAGCGGAAUUCCUAGUGUAGCAGUGAAAUGCGUAGAUAUUAGGAGGAACACCAAAGGCGAAGGCAGCUUACUGGACAGGCACUGACACUGAGGC
RNAcentral lists this ribosomal RNA (400 nucleotides) under uncultured bacterium. RNAcentral's name for it is "partial 16S ribosomal RNA". It matches the Rfam family "Bacterial small subunit ribosomal RNA", at positions 355 to 752 of the family's 1533-position model. The record is from RNAcentral.